RNAcentral lists this ribosomal RNA (310 nucleotides) under uncultured bacterium. Its description in RNAcentral is "partial 16S ribosomal RNA". It matches the Rfam family "Bacterial small subunit ribosomal RNA", at positions 503 to 809 of the family's 1533-position model. The record is from RNAcentral.
AAGAGACAGCAGCAGCCACGGGAAUACGGAGGGCGCGAGCGUUACCCGGAUUUACUGGGCGUAAAGGGCGUGUAGGCGGCCUGGGGCGUCCCAUGUGAAAGGCCACGGCUCAACCGUGGAGGAGCGUGGGAUACGCUCAGGCUAGAGGGUGGGAGAGGGUGGUGGAAUUCCCGGAGUAGCGGUGAAAUGCGCAGAUACCGGGAGGAACGCCGAUGGCGAAGGCAGCCACCUGGUCCACUUCUGACGCUGAGGCGCGAAAGCGUGGGGAGCAAACCGGAUUAGAUACCCCUGUAGUCCCUGUCUCUUAUAA